GACAAUGGGGGGAACCCUGAUCCAGCCAUGCCGCGUGUGUGAAGAAGGCCUUAUGGUUGUAAAGCACUUUAAGCGAGGAGGAGGCUACUUUAGUUAAUACCUAGAGAUAGUGGACGUUACUCGCAGAAUAAGCACCGGCUAACUCUGUGCCAGCAGCCGCGGUAAUACAGAGGGUGCGAGCGUUAAUCGGAUUUACUGGGCGUAAAGCGUGCGUAGGCGGCUUAUUAAGUCGGAUGUGAAAUCCCCGAGCUUAACUUGGGAAUUGCCUUUGUGACUGCAAGGCUAGAGUACGGCAGAGGGGGAUGGAAUUCCGCGUGUAGCAGUGAAAUGCGUAGAUAUGCGGAGGAACACCGAUGGCGAAGGCAAUCCCCUGGGCCUGUACUGACGCUCAUGCACGAAAGCGUGGGGAGCAAACAGGAUUAGAUACCCUGGUAGUCCACGCCCUAAACGAUGUCAACUGGUUGUUGGGUCUUAACUGACUCAGUAACGAAGCUAACGCGUGAAGUCGACCGCCUGGGGAGUACG
RNAcentral lists this ribosomal RNA (525 nucleotides) under uncultured bacterium. Its description in RNAcentral is "bacterial SSU rRNA". It matches the Rfam family "Bacterial small subunit ribosomal RNA", at positions 367 to 884 of the family's 1533-position model. The record is from RNAcentral.